This is a long non-coding RNA of Hemicordylus capensis (graceful crag lizard), 678 nucleotides long. RefSeq lists it as uncharacterized. The transcript is spliced from 2 exons. NCBI's taxonomy places the organism in Eukaryota, Metazoa, Chordata, Lepidosauria, Squamata, Cordylidae. The record is from RefSeq and is a predicted model, not a curated record.
CCACGCAGUAUGAGAUGAUGCCUUUCAGCAUCGUCCAAUGACGCUGCUGCCCGAUAUAGUACCAGCGGGGAUUCGAACCGGCAACCUUCUGCUUGUUAGUCAAGCAUUUUUCCACUGCACCACUUAAGAAGGCAGAUAAGAGAAGGAUGGAGGCUUUCGAAAUGUGGUGUUGGAGGCGACUGUUGCGUAUCCCAUGGACAGCGAGAAUCACGAAUAAGGAAGUUUUAGAUCGAGUUAAACCAAUAAUAUCACUAGAAGCCAAGAUUACUAAACCAAGACUGACAUAUUUUGGUCAUGUCAUGCGAGCUGAUUCACUCGAAAAGACAAUUAUGCUGGGAAUGAUCAGUGGAAGAAGGAGACGGGGACGGCCUUGUACUCGGUGGCUGGAUAUUAUUAAAAAUGACACUGGAAUGACCAUGGUGGAAUUAAAGGAAGCUGUCCAAGAUAGGGCGGCAUGGAGUUCAUUGAUCCAUAGAGUGACUGAGAGUCGGACACCACUGAAUGGAUAAGAAGACGAAUUAUUGUGGUUUUUAACCUGACUUUUAACUUCUUGUUCAAUUUGGUUAAUUUUAUUACUUUUAUUGUGUCUUGUAUCUAUUUUAUUGUUAUGAAUCGCCCCGAGCAGUAGUGUACUGGAGGGGCAGGGUAUACAUAUUUCAAAUAAAUAAAUAAAGCUUA